UGAGUGAAUGAUGCGGGAGAUAAAAUCAUAUCCUAUGCUGGCUAUGCUUGGACUGAAGGGAGCUCCCUUCUCUACAAGCCCAUGCAUACUAUGAAAUCUUCUAGUUAUAUAUCUUUUUUUUUCCUUCAGAAAAAGACUUUGUCCAUUCUUCGAUUAUUUUUUUUCUUGUGUUUCUUCUGAUUUCUAUGAUAAGAAUAAAUCAGGCUACUUAAAUCUUCUUCUUUUUAUAUGUAACGUGGAAGUUUUAAUUCAACCCUAUCUAUUAGUUUGUGUGAAUAAAUUUCUAAGUUUUCCCCGUAUAUGCACAUCAUACGACUUUCUUAUUAAACAAAAAAAAAAAAGUGGCUUCCAUGAUUCCUGCUGCUUAGCAUAUGGUUAUUGCAACAAAAAGUAGCGUCAGAGAUGAUUGAUAUCCUCUAUGAGUCUAAUCCCUCAUUCGUAUUGCAUUUGGCUUUUUAAAAGGGUCACACUCACAAAACCCUAAUAUAGAUCAAUGAACUCUUUCAGCAGUUCAAGUUUUGAUUUUCGCAUUGAAGCCAUCAUUUCAACUUAAUGCACCCGGCGUUACACAAACAGAUCUAUUAUCACAAAAUGGGCAUUCUACAGACAGAUCAAACAAAGGCUUCAUUCUGGAAUUUUAUAUAUAUGUAUUCAUAGUAUAUGUUUUAUGAUCUAUCUAGUUUUUCACCCAUCAUGGUUAUAGACAUGCAGAAAUUUCUGUUUUUUAAUUACUAGUAGCCUAUUCAUCUCUUUUUGUCUCGUCAUAUCUUAGAUGGAGAAAGCUAACAAACAGAUGGCUUUGUUGAUGCUAUGCAAAUGGGUGCCUGUCCCGGCUAAUAUCAUAUGCUGCCGUUUUAAAUUUGGAUGUAUGCAGUAUUUUUUUGAUCAUAUUGGAUAUAUGUAGUAUAAACUGGUGUUUUGCAAUAAAGCCCGGAUGAAGUUUUCCAAGCAA
Molecule: non-coding RNA, 952 nt
Organism: Elaeis guineensis (African oil palm)
Lineage: Eukaryota; Viridiplantae; Streptophyta; Magnoliopsida; Arecales; Arecaceae
Source: RefSeq, a predicted model, not a curated record